Unclassified non-coding RNA from Marmota marmota marmota (Alpine marmot), 240 nucleotides. Its record names the gene 7SK. It matches the Rfam family "7SK RNA". From Rfam's summary of the family: 7SK was discovered as an abundant small nuclear RNA in the mid-70s but a possible function has only recently been suggested. Lineage: Eukaryota; Metazoa; Chordata; Mammalia; Rodentia; Sciuridae. The record is from Ensembl.
AGAUGUGAGCGUGAUCUGGCUGACAAGGCCCAUGUCACCUUCCUCCCUCACAGCUCUACGCGCAUCCCUCCCAAAACUGUGUGCUCAGUUGGAGAGGACAGCCUCCUGCACAGAGGAGACGGCUCUUCAGUAGCUGCACUACUCUGCUAGAAUCUUCAUCUUUUGUGGUUCAUUUGGAGUACAACAUAGGAUAGUCCACUUACCAGUACUCCAUACACAUCCAAAUGAGGUCUUGCCUGU